GACGAACGCUGGCGGCAUGCCUAACACAUGCAAGUCGAGCGAGUAGAUCCCUUCGGGGUGAAGCUAGCGGCGGACGGGUGAGUAACACGUGGGCAACCUGCCUCAUAGAGGGGAAUAGCCUUCCGAAAGGAAGAUUAAUACCGCAUAAGAUUGUAGUCCCGCAUGGUCUAGCAAUUAAAGGAGCAAUCCGCUAUGAGAUGGGCCCGCGGCGCAUUAGCUAGUUGGUGAGGUAACGGCUCACCAAGGCGACGAUGCGUAGCCGACCUGAGAGGGUGAUCGGCCACAUUGGGACUGAGACACGGCCCGGACUCCUACGGGAGGCAGCAGUGGGGAAUAUUGCACAAUGGGGGAAACCCUGAUGCAGCAAUGCCGCGUGAGUGAUGACGGCCUUCGGGUUGUAAAGCUCUGUCUUCGGGGACGAUAAUGACGGUACCCGAGGAGGAAGCCACGGCUAACUACGUGCCAGCAGCCGCAGUAA
This 478-nucleotide ribosomal RNA is filed under the name uncultured bacterium. Its description in RNAcentral is "partial 16S ribosomal RNA". It matches the Rfam family "Bacterial small subunit ribosomal RNA", at positions 28 to 523 of the family's 1533-position model. The record is from RNAcentral.